UCAAUAUAGUAAUAAUUAAUGUUAAAGGUUAAGAAUUUGACUAUAAAAUCAAAAAAUUGAAAAUUAAAAUAAAAAAUUAGUUAAAGCUUGGGUAACAAUGGUGUAAUUAAUCUAGACCUGGCAAUCUCGACCCAUACCGGCAGGUGCCCAUGGGUUAUCAGCAAAUUUAUGGGUAUGGAUACCAACUUUUUCAACCCAAAAAAUUACAGGUAAAAUGGGUGGGUACCUAUUAAGCUGUGGGCAUUUUGGGUAAUCCGUGGGUACCCACGGAUACCCGCACAUAUAUUAUUUAAUUACAAAAUGUAUUUUCUUAAUUAAAAUAUAUAUAUUUUUAUUUACUCAUCCUACAAAUUCUAACUCUAAUUUUUUAUCACGUCUUUUAUAUUACAAAAUNAGGGAAGAGAAGGUGAGGGGGGCCACACUCUAUUUUGUGUAUGAUAGAGUCAAUAACUCUUAAAAAAAGAGACCUUGUUUUGUAAUAAGUUGGAAUAAUUUAUAUAUAUAUAUAUGGUCCCGCUACUAUACUAUUAUGAGUACGAUCGCCCUCGUACUCAUAAGUUGUUUUCGAUGAUAGAGCUUCCAAAUCAACGAUCCACACCGUUAAACGUUAUUUACAGUAUUUAAAAUUUUUAAAAAUCAAAUUUUAUAAUUUUUCGACAUCAUUUACCUUACGAUCAAGAGGUCACAAAUUUGACAAUUUUUAACGGCCGAUAUGGAAUACUUGCUAGUUUAACGGUGUAAAAGAAUCGAAAUUUGUUGAAUUUUUGAUAGAAAAUUUUAUUCACUACAUAGAUAAAGAUCAAUAACUCCGAUCUUGAAUUAAAGGAUCCGAUCAUCCUUUUUUAGGAUGUCGUUCGAUUUUGACCGUUCAUUUUAUGCCCACUUGAUGGACUUUAUUAUGAUUUCGAAAAUUUACGAAAUUUAUUUUCUAGAAGUUUUAAAUACUCUAGAUCAUAUUUAACGGAGUGGAUCGUCGAUUCGGAAGCUCCAUCAUUGAAAACAACUUAUGAGUACGAGAACUCCAAUACUCAUAAUAGUAUAGUAGCCAUGGCAUAUAUAUAUAUAGAAUUAGGCUGGAAUGCUAUUGAUAGCAAAAGAUGCUUUUUGCUAUCAAGUUUUUAACCCUUAGAUGAGAAAUUGUAGAGUCAGGAUGAUAUUAGUUAGUUAGGAUUGAGUGGUCCCCUAGGGUUGAGAGGUUCCCACUGGGUUAUAAUAUUUAAUUCAAUGGUUAGAAAUAAUGAAAGGAGUUGAUCCAAAGGCUAAAAACUUGGUAGCAAAAAAAAAGCCUUUUGCUAUCAAUAGUAUUUUGGCCCAACUAUAUAUAUAUAUAUAGAGUCCGGCUACUAUGCUAUCGGUAGCACGGAGCGCUCCGUGCUACCAAGUUGUUUUCGAUGAUGCGGCUUCCAAAUCGACGAUCGGCUCCGUUAGACUUGAUCUACACUAUUAAAAGUAUUUGGAAACUAAAUUUCAGAUUUUUUCGACAUCAUUUGACACGUGAUCAAAAGAUCUCAAAAUUAAUAAUUUUAAAGGCCGAUGUGGUGUGUUUGUGAGUUUAACGGUGUAAAACAAUCCAAAUGCGAUGAAAAUUUUAUAGAAAAUUUUUUUCACUAUUUAGAGUAAGAUCAGUAUAUCUGAUCUUGAAUUUAAAUCUUUUAUCAUCAUUUUUCAUGAGAUUUUUAUUUUCAGCCGUUCAAUUUUAGACUACUUGUUUGAUAGGUAAAUGAUAUCGAAAAAUUAUGAAAUUUAGUUUCUAAAUACUUUCAAUAGUGUAGAUCAUAGUGGGCUGGGUCGUUACAUUUGGUAUCAGAGCCGGUUCACCAGCUGGACAUGUGUGGCGAGUCUCGGCUGAGCCAGGGUCUGGAUGACGGGCUAGCGAGACGAGUCUCACAUCGCCUGGUGGUGAUCUUGGGCUGAGUGUGUGAUUGGACUGACGAGGACGUCAGGGCCUUAACGGGGGGAGUCUGUGACACCCCAAUAGUCCCACAUCGGAUGGGAAUGGGGUUGUCAUUGGGUUUAUAAGAGACUUAAACACUAGUAAUAAUAACUGGGCUUAAGCAUUUUGGGCCGGUGGUUUGGGCCCAACGAGUUAUUGUUGCUAGUGGGUUGGGUCGUUACAUUUGGUAUCAGAGCCGGUUCACCAGCUGGACAUGUGUGGCGAGUCUCGGCUGAGCCAGGGUCUGGAUGACGGGCUAGCGAGACGAGUCUCACAUAGCCUGGUGAUCUUGGGCUGUGUGUGUUUGGACUGACGAGGACGUCAGGGCCUUAACGGGGGGAGUCUGUGACACCCCAUUAGUCCCACAUCGGAUGGGAAUGGGGUUGUCAUUGGGUUUAUAAGAGACUUAGACACUAGUAAUAAUAACUGGGCUUAAGCAUUUUGGGCCGGUUGUUGGGCCCAACGAGUUAUUGUUGCUAGUGGGCUGGGUCGUUACAAGUCUAACGGAGCCGAUCGUCGAUUUGAAAGCCGUAUCAUCGAAAACAACUUGGUAGCACGGAGCGCUCCGUGUUACCGAUAGUAUAGUAGCCUAGUUCUAUAUAUAUAUAUAUAUAUAUAUAUAGAACUAGGCUACUAUACUAUCAAUAGUACCAACCCCUUGGUACUAUUGAGUUUUCGGCCGUUGGACGAAAGGAUGUGCGGUUAGGAUAAUAGUGAUCCCUGGUUAAAUUGAUAGUGGUCCCUAGGGUUGAGUGGGUGGUUGGUUUAAUAGUAUAAUCUAACGGGUGGAAAUGAUCAAGGGGUAGAUCUAACGGUAGAAAACUCAAUAAUACCAAAGGUUUUGUACUAUCGAUAGUAUAGUAGCCGGACUCUCUAUAUAUAUAUAUAUAUAUAUAUAUAUAUAAUUGUUUGGUAGGGGUUUCAUUCGUUACUUCUAGAUCAUAAAAAUCUAGUCAAGUUCUUCCCAAGAUCAAACUGAAAACAAACAAUUAAUUCUAUAUAAGUCCUGAAUAUAUAUAUAUAUAUAUAUAUAUGUACAAUUGUUUGGUAGGGGUUUCAUUCGUUACUUCUAGAUCAUAAAAAUCUAGUCAAGUUCUUCCCAAGAUCAAACUGAAAACAAAAAAUUAAUUCUAUAUAAGUCCUGAAUAUNNNNNNNNNNNNNNNNNNNNNNNNNNNNNNNNNNNNNNNNNNNNNNNNNNNNNNNNNNNNNNNNNNNNNNNNNNNNNNNNNNNNNNNNNNNNNNNNNNNNNNNNNNNNNNNNNNNNNNNNNNNNNNNNNNNNNNNNNNNNNNNNNNNNNNNNNNNNNNNNNNNNNNNNNNNNNNNNNNCCGUAAUGGAAUAACGUCUCACGAUCACUUCAUGACAGGCAAAAACUCUGGAGCUCCAACAGGUGAUUAAACCCCCAGAAGCCCCAUUGGCUUCGACAAAAACACGUUUGUCAAUAAAAGACCCUGCUAAACUAUGAAGGAAGGACCCUGAUACCUGACGUACUUUUGAUUCCUGGAGACAGACAACUACAUUACGAACUUUCGAAAUAACAUCCCUAACCGUAAAACGUUUAGAAGAGUCAUUAAGCCCUCUAACAUUCCAACUAACAACCCUAAACAUCAUAAAGAAGAGACACCACACUCCAAAAAGUCGUCACAAUGUGUUAACUCCCUCCACCAUAUAGCUCGCUUACGCACGGUUCUUCGUGGCUAUGGCGAAAUGGUUUGCCUCCACGUCAUCCAGGAUCACCCUGCAGCGACGACUCUUCCGAAUGAUCUUCCUCACCGUAGCCUCGGUCACGAAGUCAGAGCCACCCUCCCUCAGCAACGCUUUCCUGGAAGCUGCUUUGGAAAGGACAGUAGACUUCUCCCCACACGCAAGCCGUGCACUGGUUCGUGUUGGUGGGGUUCCAUGCUUCUUCCUCGGAAAUCCCGUAUAUCCAGUCGGCUUCGCUUGAGGUCCGACCCAAACCCCAUGCACACAGUCAACUCUAGCUAUGUCCCUCACCUCCUCUCCUUCAAAAGGCCUAGCCGGUUGAGCGUCAUUAUUUACGUCAAGACAGGGGAUCGCGCCUCCCACGUGUAGCAUCAGUGCACCAUUUUCCUCCCUAGUAUUCGACCUGAAACCUCCAUCCAUCGCUACCAUCAACGGCGAACAAUCGUCCACCGCUUUCCUAGAAGGGCCCACCGUACCAGGUAAAACUCUCUCUUCCUGCUUCCAGGCCCACAGCAGUGGCCCAAGAGAAAUCGCGUACAGGCCCCCACAAACCAUAACCUUGAGAAGCCCAUUUGUGUGUUUGGUUACCUUUCUAUAAGUUCGCCAAUUUAUCAUUUUAUAUUUUGUCAUCGUUUUAAACAGAUGGCAUCUCAAUUAUCUAUUUAAUUUACAACUCAAAAAAUAGAUAAAAAAAAUUUAGAUAAAAAAUAAUCUUCUAGUUCGUUAAUACUAUCAAAAUUGAACUAGGCUAUUAUACUAUUAAAAGCACCUAGUCAACGGUACUCUAGCACAUCUAGCUAGAGCGAAAUUCAUACCCGAUCAAACUCUAAUACAUAUAUUUAUAACUCAUGCAAAUCAAAUCCAAUGAAGCCUAGUGCAAUACUUUAGGGCUUAGUAAGAUCCUCACUCUAGCAUAUAUAAACAUAGUGGAAAAUAUAUUAUACUCGGUUAAUCCUGAUACAUACACUCAUGAAUUAACCACUCUCUAACUUUGGGUAAUAUCAAAUUCGACCUAUCUCAAUACAUAAACUUGGAGUUUGGUCAUAUCUCCACCUUUAAAUAUACAACUAAGGUGAAUAUGAUCGAACUCUAAAAUAUAUACGUAGAGACGAUUAGACUCUAAUGCAUAUUUGAGAAUUUGAAAUUGAAUUUUGAAUGAAAAAGGAUAUGUAAUGAGAUUAUUAGGAUAAAAGAUAUUUUCUAAUUGAAUAUUAAAUUUUAGGAUAUGGAUAUGGGCGGUCAUUGAUUGGACCCACUUAGAUGAAACUUGUUGGGCACAAAUAAUAAUAUUCGUUGGGCCGAAAUAAAGCCCAAAUUAUUGUAUAGACUUAAAAAUUCAACGGGCUUUCAUAAGGCCUACCAACUCGUAUUUAUAAAUGGGCCAAUUGAAUAUGUUUAAAUUAUUAUUAUUGGCUCCAAAAUUUUUUGAUCAACAUGAGACCUAUUAGAAUUGUAUGAGUUCGAAUUUAAUUAAUUUUGAUUAUGAUUAGAAUUACUUUAUCAUAUAUUUUAUAUAUAUAUAUAUAUAUAUAUAUAUAUAUAUAUAUAUAUAUAUAUAUAUAUAUAUAU
RNAcentral lists this long non-coding RNA (5205 nucleotides) under Ananas comosus (pineapple). RNAcentral describes it as "long non-coding RNA (ACOM_LNC010778)". Lineage: Eukaryota; Viridiplantae; Streptophyta; Magnoliopsida; Poales; Bromeliaceae. The record is from RNAcentral.